RNAcentral lists this ribosomal RNA (806 nucleotides) under uncultured bacterium. Its description in RNAcentral is "bacterial SSU rRNA". It matches the Rfam family "Bacterial small subunit ribosomal RNA", at positions 8 to 796 of the family's 1533-position model. The record is from RNAcentral.
AGAGUUUGAUCCUGGCUCAGGAUGAACGCUGGCGGCGUGCCUAAUACAUGCAAGUCGAGCGUACAGACGAGGAGUUUGCUCCUCUAACGUUAGCGGCGGACGGGUGAGUAACACGUGGAUAACCUACCUAUAAGACUGGGAUAACUUCGGGAAACCGGAGCUAAUACCGGAUAAUAUAUUGAACCGCAUGGUUCAAUAGUGAAAGACGGUUUUGCUGUCACUUAUAGAUGGAUCCGCGCCGCAUUAGCUAGUUGGUAAGGUAACAGCUUACCAAGGCAACGAUGCGUAGCCGACCUGAGAGGGUGAUCGGCCACACUGGAACUGAGACACGGUCCAGACUCCUACGGGAGGCAGCAGUAGGGAAUCUUCCGCAAUGGGCGAAAGCCUGACGGAGCAACGCCGCGUGAGUGAUGAAGGUCUUCGGAUCGUAAAACUCUGUUAUUAGGGAAGAACAAAUGUGUAAGUAACUAUGCACGUCUUGACGGUACCUAAUCAGAAAGCCACGGCUAACUACGUGCCAGCAGCCGCGGUAAUACGUAGGUGGCAAGCGUUAUCCGGAAUUAUUGGGCGUAAAGCGCGCGUAGGCGGUUUUUUAAGUCUGAUGUGAAAGCCCUCGGCUCAACCGUGGAGGGUCAUUGGAAACUGGAAAACUUGAGUGCAGAAGAGGAAAGUGGAAUUCCAUGUGUAGCGGUGAAAUGCGCAGAGAUAUGGAGGAACACCAGUGGCGAAGGCGACUUUCUGGUCUGUAACUGACGCUGAUGUGCGAAAGCGUGGGGAUCAAACAGGAUUAGAUACCCUGGUAGUCC